Molecule: transfer RNA, 72 nt
Filed under: Heterocephalus glaber (naked mole-rat)
Lineage: Eukaryota; Metazoa; Chordata; Mammalia; Rodentia; Bathyergidae
Rfam family: tRNA
About the family: Transfer RNA (tRNA) molecules are approximately 80 nucleotides in length. Their secondary structure includes four short double-helical elements and three loops (D, anti-codon, and T loops).
Source: Rfam by way of RNAcentral
GGGGAUGCACCUCAGUGGUAGAGCACUUGACUACCCUUCAUGAGACCCUGAGUUUAAUUCUCAGUACCACCA